This 336-nucleotide unclassified non-coding RNA is filed under the name soil metagenome. RNAcentral's name for it is "partial contains 5.8S ribosomal RNA, internal transcribed spacer 2, and large subunit ribosomal RNA". The stretch from base 1 to 120 matches the Rfam family "5.8S ribosomal RNA", at positions 35 to 154 of the family's 154-position model. The record is from RNAcentral.
GAUGAAGAACGCAGCGAAAUGCGAUAAGUAAUGUGAAUUGCAGAAUUCAGUGAAUCAUCGAAUCUUUGAACGCACAUUGCGCCCGCUAGUAUUCUGGCGGGCAUGCCUGUUCGAGCGUCAUUUCAACCCAUCAAGCUUAGCGCUUGUGUUGGAGCCCUGCGGCCGCCGCAGCCUCCUAAAAUCAGUGGCGGGCUCGCUAUCACGCUGAGUGCAGUAGUAUUCUUCUCACUCCUGUGGUGUAGCGGGUAACCAGCCGUAAACCCCCCCAUCUAUAAAGGUUGACCUCGGAUCAGGUAGGAAUACCCGCUGAACUUAAGCAUAUCAAUAAGCGGAGGA